Molecule: non-coding RNA, 3465 nt
Organism: Bactrocera oleae (olive fruit fly)
Lineage: Eukaryota; Metazoa; Arthropoda; Insecta; Diptera; Tephritidae
Source: RefSeq, a predicted model, not a curated record
AUUGUUUCCAAUUUUUCUCUUAUCAGUUGCGUGAGUAUGGUGCGCAACCGUUUCUAGAAUACAUUUGUUGUCUUUUUAGAGUUUUUACUUUUUUGGUUAUUGCAUCGUGGCCUAGAAACGCCUGCAAUAAGACAUUACAUUCAAAAGUGAUCAUUUAGUUUAGAAUAUAUAAAAAUAAGGCAAUUUGCAAAGUCAAGCAAUUUAGCCACAUCAAGGUACCUCCUUUUUAGUUGCGUUUUUAACAAAGCUAACUGAUAACGAACUCACAAAGCGCACUUCCAACGGCUGCAACCGAGUUUUACUAGUUUAUUUGAUAAUUGGAAUUCAAGCUGCGCAGACCACAAGCAAUAUCGAAAUAAAUCCGAUAUUAAAGUUCUACCAUUGGAAUUUUAUUCAUUAUAGCAAGAUUAAUUGUCUUUCGUGAGGUACUAACAUCGAAAUUUAAAAAAUUUCAAUUCAGUUCGUUCAGAAAAGUUCGUUUUGUUAGCAGAGAAAAAGGAGUUCAGCUGCUUCAGCGCAUUUAACUAUUCGAAUUAGUCCGAUUUCGCUUGGAUUGUUUUUAUUGGAAAUUUUGCAAAAUGGUCGCUUCAUUAAAUGCUUGCCAAAACGGCAUAGUAAGUUCCGCAGUCGGGGGCGCCGCUAAUGGAGUAAUCACCAAUGGCGCAGUCAAUACAACCAAUGUGGGCAAGACUUUGACCAAGGGCAAAUACACUUUGGUGGGCAUCGAUAUUGACACAACGGGACGUCGUCUCAUCGAUGAAAUCGUCCAGUUGGCCGCAUAUACUCCAAAAGAUCAUUUUGAACAAUAUAUUAUGCCAUAUAUGAACUUGAAUCCUGCCGCUCGUCAACGUCAUCAAGUACGUGUGAUCUCAAUCGGAUUCUAUCGUAUGCUGAAAUCAAUGCAAACAUAUAAGAUUAUCAAGUCCAAAUCGGAAAUCGCUGCCUUGAAAGAUUUUCUUGAUUGGCUGGAAGCGCUUAAAGCCAAAGAUGCAGCAUCGCAAGGUAUCAUUCUAGUCUAUCAUGAGGAACGCAAAUUCAUUCCAUAUAUGAUAUUGGAGUCGCUUAAAAAGUACAAUCUGCUGGAUAGAUUCCUCAACACUGUCAAAUCUUUCGCCAAUGGUUUUAAUUUGGCCAAAGCCAAUGCCAACGAAUCGUUGCAACACUAUACAUUGCGCAAACUUUCUAAAGUCCUGAGCGCCAAAACACUCGAGAUAAACAAUAAUGCUUCCGAUGGCGACGCAAACCAGAACAUAAGCUCAACGACUGGGACGGCCGAGAGUCAGAGCCCCCAAAAGUCGUUGAAUAAGGGCGCUCCAACACAAGAGCGUGAGUUGUUUGACGGCAAUGCUAGUGUGCGUGCUAAACUGGCAUAUGAAGUAGCACUGCAGUUGAGCAACCAAGAACAAAAGGUGCCCAUUGAUUCGUCUGCUGCAUUAGAGAAGUUGCUCACCGCAUUGCAAACGUAUGCACAGCCCAUCGAAUGUGAUUUGAAUGAACUACAGACUCAAAAUGAGAAUUUAGAGCGUCAAAAUUCAUUCCGUCCGGUGUUUUUGAACUACUUCAAAACAACACUCUACCAUCGGGUGCGUGCUGUCAAAUUUCGCAUUAUACUUGCCGAACAGGGUUACGACCUGCAAACACUGAAUGAAAUUUGGAGUGAGAAACAGAAAGAGGGUCUCUCUGAAAUACUGCAAGUCAUUGAGGAGCUCAAGGCAGAAGAUAAGGCGGAGUUGGCCGAUUUAUUUGACAGUUACUUCGAUCCAAUAAAAACGACUAUUAAGCCGAUUGUUAAGAAUAAUAAUCGUCGCCGAAAUAGACGCGGAGUACGCAACAUUAAAAACGACGGCAGCAAUAGUGCUCGACCAUGUAGCGAACAAGGCGCAGGUGGCGACAAACAAGUCGCGGCCGGCUUGCUGCCCGAUUCUACAACUAAAUCUCCAUCUCCGCCUAACGGUGGCAAGCCUCAGCGCGGUAAGCGUAACCCCCGCUCCCGUAAUAACUCCUUAAAAACACAGCUACAAAGCGCCGUCGACACAAACAACAUAACGGCAGCAGUAACCAAUUAAGCAUCAAUGUUGAUCGAAAUGAAUUCUACGCAGACGCUGUUGCAACAAAAAAAUUUUAGCUCAAAUUUAAUACCAAAAAAGCUUUACUUGCAACAAAGAUUUGAUUGGUGCAUUGCAGUUUGUGUUAAAUAGAAAAAAUAUCAACUCACUAAAUAUAAUCGAGGAGGUACGAGGAAGUUAAUAGAAGAGAGCCGGUUCCGUAAACUCCUUGCUCAAAAUUUCUGUGAAUAAAAAAAUUUUAAAUGUGUGUUUAGGUUAAUCACCAAAUUUUUACGAAAAAAUUAAAUGAAAGAAGCUCGACUUUUGAAAUGCAGCAACAACAACUCAUAUACAUAUAAUGAGUUUGUAAGAUUUUUACGAAAAAGUCAAAGGAAGGAAAUUGAAUAUUCAUUCUCACAUAUAUUGAGUUAUUGAGAUUUAUGCCGUCAAUACCAGUAAAUUGGAUUGAUUUGCCGCAGCAAUGCAAGUGAAAUUAUGGAAUUUAUAUACAUACAAAUAUAUGAGAUCGCCCCAAAAAGAAAACGUGAUCAUAUCGAAGUAAUAUAAGAGCAACUAUUUAGUUGCGCUUUGAAUUCACCAUAUACCGCCUAAUUGAAUUUAGAUUCGCAGCAAGCAAUUGCCUAUCAUCAUCUAUGCCUGCUCAGCAUCGUUAAGCCACCAGCUGUGGAGAUGGGAGAAUAUUUUCGUUUUUAGUUUAAUGCAAGACUCAUUUAGUUGAAAAACGGGAGAAACCAAAAAUACUAUUGACUUAUUGUUAAAACAUAUAACAUUUAUUAUUGAGAACAAUAAUGGUUAGUUACCAUAUAAUAAUUAUUUUUACGCUUACAACAUUUUUCAAAAAUCAAGGAAUCUUAAAGCUGAUCCUUAAAUGACCUACUCAAAUCCUUCAUUAGAAUCAUAUCGGCACUCGAUAGAUUCCACUUACAUUUUAAUUUAAACGAGCUUCCUACACGAAAAUUUAAAAAAAUAUAACAAAACAAAAACAACAACUGUUCACCUCAACUUAAAAAUAAAAAUAAGUAAUUGCUACAACAGAAAAUGAUAAAAUAAACAAACUAGUAUAGAUCAGAUCCCUCACGCAAGCGCCAAUAUCAACAUAUUUCUAAAUAAUAGGCAUAGCCGAUUUGCAUGUGCCCUUAUUGUUCUAGUAUUUGCAUUGAAAAGCAUAUGAAACGCAAAUGGACAUAACUAUUUUUGAACACACUGAAAUGUUAUUGCAUUUCCACACAUAAGUUUCUUUAUGCAUACAACACAAAACCGCUCGAGUUCUAAUUAAAAAAAAAAAAACAAAUAUUCGUAAAUUUUUUUGUAUUGUUUCUGUUUGAAAAGCAAAUUUGAUAAUACUUUGUUGUGACUUCUUGUACUUAAUUUGAAAUAAAAAUUCAAAAAUCAGUUUUAA